GGGGAUUUAGCUCAGUGGUAGAGCACUUGCCUAGUAAGCGCAAGGCCCUGGGUUCAGUCCCCA
Molecule: non-coding RNA, 63 nt
Organism: Rattus norvegicus (Norway rat)
Lineage: Eukaryota; Metazoa; Chordata; Mammalia; Rodentia; Muridae
Source: Rfam